This 1040-nucleotide long non-coding RNA is filed under the name Marmota monax (woodchuck). Lineage: Eukaryota; Metazoa; Chordata; Mammalia; Rodentia; Sciuridae. The record is from RNAcentral.
GUUUGUUUUACUUCUAUGCAAACAUGUCUCCCCAUUGCACAUUCCCAUCAGGGUUUCCCUGCUGGCUUCCUCAUCUUCUUCCAGUUUCUGGUAGAUCCAGGGACCGUGGCUUGUGGCAGCAUACAGGGAUCUCAGUCACCAUCAUUUCAAGUCAUCUUCCCUCGGUGCUGAGUCUCUUCUUUCUUUACAAGGACAAACUCUACUCCAGUAUAACCUCACCCAAUGGCUAUGACCCUAUUUCAGGUGCCAGGAUUUGGGACUUAAAAAUAUCAUUGGGGGGUGCAGAGACAGUUCAAUCCAUAACCAUUGUUUCAUGGUUAAAUCAGCACAUUUUAGAAUAGAUAUUUCAUUUGUGGGGUAAAAGGUGAUCACUAUCUUUUUUACCGUAGCCCUGGACAGAGCUGCCUCAGAGCCGACCUAUACUCAUUUCAACAGAAGCUGAUUUAGAUGCCCGCUUGCAGAAGUUUCAGAUCUGUUUAGGAGAAAGGGCAGCAGCACAGGGUCUCUGGUGGAGCCCAGGCAUUCUGUCUGGAUCUGUGAUAGUCAGGCGUCGUGCGGGGCAUCAGAAGUUUCCAGAAAUGGCUGCUUUUCCUGUUCUCCCACUCAUCAUUCAAGCAUCAUGUUACUUUCACCAGGCUUUUGAAAUCCUUCAGCUGCCUUUGGGCCUGUGGUGGGGGAGUAUAUGAUGGCAGGGAGCACAUGGAGAAGGAAAACUGCUCACCUCAUGGCAGUUUAAAACCAAAUGUUUUCAAACAGCUGACUUCCACUCUAGCCAAAGAUGGAGUAGCCUGGACAGGAUUAACCACCAUGUCUUAAAGGAGGAGCAGAAAAGCUCUUGAAUGAAUGCAGCUCUAGUCCUACCCAGAAAACCUUAAAAUCCAAAGCCCAAAGAAUCGAACCAUUUCUAGAGAACUUAAUUGUGUACCAGAAUAAACCUCAUGAAUGCUAUGGUUUAGAUAAAAUUUAAGUGUGCACCCCCAAAUUUUAUGUGUUGGUCCCCCAAUAGACAGAACUUUAAUCCCUACUUUACUUCGAUUCCA